UACGUAGGUGGCGAGCGUUGUCCGGAUUUACUGGGCGUAAAGGGAGCGUAGGCGGACUUUUAAGUGAGAUGUGAAAUACUCGGGCUCAACUUGAGUGCUGCAUUUCAAACUGGAAGUCUAGAGUGCAGGAGAGGAGAAUGGAAUUCCUAGUGUAGCGGUGAAAUGCGUAGAGAUUAGGAAGAACGCCAGUGGCGAAGGCGAUUCUCUGGACUGUAACUGACGCUGAGGCUCGAAAGCGUGGGGAGCAAACAGG
This 253-nucleotide ribosomal RNA is filed under the name uncultured bacterium. RNAcentral describes it as "partial 16S ribosomal RNA". It matches the Rfam family "Bacterial small subunit ribosomal RNA", at positions 524 to 776 of the family's 1533-position model. The record is from RNAcentral.